This 2102-nucleotide ribosomal RNA is filed under the name Escherichia coli. Its description in RNAcentral is "partial 23S ribosomal RNA". It matches the Rfam family "Bacterial large subunit ribosomal RNA", at positions 418 to 2505 of the family's 2925-position model. The record is from RNAcentral. Lineage: Bacteria; Pseudomonadati; Pseudomonadota; Gammaproteobacteria; Enterobacterales; Enterobacteriaceae.
CGGGACACGUGGUAUCCUGUCUGAAUAUGGGGGGACCAUCCUCCAAGGCUAAAUACUCCUGACUGACCGAUAGUGAACCAGUACCGUGAGGGAAAGGCGAAAAGAACCCCGGCGAGGGGAGUGAAAAAGAACCUGAAACCGUGUACGUACAAGCAGUGGGAGCACGCUUAGGCGUGUGACUGCGUACCUUUUGUAUAAUGGGUCAGCGACUUAUAUUCUGUAGCAAGGUUAACCGAAUAGGGGAGCCGAAGGGAAACCGAGUCUUAACUGGGCGUUAAGUUGCAGGGUAUAGACCCGAAACCCGGUGAUCUAGCCAUGGGCAGGUUGAAGGUUGGGUAACACUAACUGGAGGACCGAACCGACUAAUGUUGAAAAAUUAGCGGAUGACUUGUGGCUGGGGGUGAAAGGCCAAUCAAACCGGGAGAUAGCUGGUUCUCCCCGAAAGCUAUUUAGGUAGCGCCUCGUGAAUUCAUCUCCGGGGGUAGAGCACUGUUUCGGCAAGGGGGUCAUCCCGACUUACCAACCCGAUGCAAACUGCGAAUACCGGAGAAUGUUAUCACGGGAGACACACGGCGGGUGCUAACGUCCGUCGUGAAGAGGGAAACAACCCAGACCGCCAGCUAAGGUCCCAAAGUCAUGGUUAAGUGGGAAACGAUGUGGGAAGGCCCAGACAGCCAGGAUGUUGGCUUAGAAGCAGCCAUCAUUUAAAGAAAGCGUAAUAGCUCACUGGUCGAGUCGGCCUGCGCGGAAGAUGUAACGGGGCUAAACCAUGCACCGAAGCUGCGGCAGCGACGCUGAUGCGUUGUUGGGUAGGGGAGCGUUCUGUAAGCCUGUGAAGGUGUGCUGUGAGGCAUGCUGGAGGUAUCAGAAGUGCGAAUGCUGACAUAAGUAACGAUAAAGCGGGUGAAAAGCCCGCUCGCCGGAAGACCAAGGGUUCCUGUCCAACGUUAAUCGGGGCAGGGUGAGUCGACCCCUAAGGCGAGGCCGAAAGGCGUAGUCGAUGGGAAACAGGUUAAUAUUCCUGUACUUGGUGUUACUGCGAAGGGGGGACGGAGAAGGCUAUGUUGGCCGGGCGACGGUUGUCCCGGUUUAAGCGUGUAGGCUGGUUUUCCAGGCAAAUCCGGAAAAUCAAGGCUGAGGCGUGAUGACGAGGCACUACGGUGCUGAAGCAACAAAUGCCCUGCUUCCAGGAAAAGCCUCUAAGCAUCAGGUAACAUCAAAUCGUACCCCAAACCGACACAGGUGGUCAGGUAGAGAAUACCAAGGCGCUUGAGAGAACUCGGGUGAAGGAACUAGGCAAAAUGGUGCCGUAACUUCGGGAGAAGGCACGCUGAUAUGUAGGUGAAGCGACUUGCUCGUGGAGCUGAAAUCAGUCGAAGAUACCAGCUGGCUGCAACUGUUUAUUAAAAACACAGCACUGUGCAAACACGAAAGUGGACGUAUACGGUGUGACGCCUGCCCGGUGCCGGAAGGUUAAUUGAUGGGGUCAGCGCAAGCGAAGCUCUUGAUCGAAGCCCCGGUAAACGGCGGCCGUAACUAUAACGGUCCUAAGGUAGCGAAAUUCCUUGUCGGGUAAGUUCCGACCUGCACGAAUGGCGUAAUGAUGGCCAGGCUGUCUCCACCCGAGACUCAGUGAAAUUGAACUCGCUGUGAAGAUGCAGUGUACCCGCGGCAAGACGGAAAGACCCCGUGAACCUUUACUAUAGCUUGACACUGAACAUUGAGCCUUGAUGUGUAGGAUAGGUGGGAGGCUUUGAAGUGUGGACGCCAGUCUGCAUGGAGCCGGCCUUGAAAUACCACCCUUUAAUGUUUGAUGUUCUAACGUUGACCCGUGAUCCGGGUUGCGGACAGUGUCUGGUGGGUAGUUUGACUGGGGCGGUCUCCUCCUAAAGAGUAACGGAGGAGCACGAAGGUUGGCUAAUCCUGGUCGGACAUCAGGAGGUUAGUGCAAUGGCAUAAGCCAGCUUGACUGCGAGCGUGACGGCGCGAGCAGGUGCGAAAGCAGGUCAUAGUGAUCCGGUGGUUCUGAAUGGAAGGGCCAUCGCUCAACGGAUAAAAGGUACUCCGGGGAUAACAGGCUGAUACCGCCCAAGAGUUCAUAU